Molecule: non-coding RNA, 123 nt
Organism: Gossypium raimondii (Peruvian cotton)
Lineage: Eukaryota; Viridiplantae; Streptophyta; Magnoliopsida; Malvales; Malvaceae
Source: Rfam
AAUAGGAGAAUGACAAAUCAAAUUUUUUUCUCCUGAUUUUCUGCUUUUUACUCCUGAAAAAAUUUAAAUUCAACUAAAAAUGCUAAAAAUUGAGAGAAAAAUCUGAUUUGUCAUUUUCCUAUU